CAACCUGGUUGAUCCUGCCAGUAGUCAUAUGCUUGUCUCAAAGAUUAAGCCAUGCAUGUCUAAGUAUAAACUUUUAUACGGUGAAACUGCGAAUGGCUCAUUAAAUCAGUUAUCGUCUAUUUGAUUGUGCCCUUACUACAUGGAUAACCGUAGUAAUUCUAGAGCUAAUACAUGCGAAAAGUCCCGACUUCUGGAAGGGAUGUAUUUAUUAGAUUAAAAACCAAUGCGUUUAACGACGCUCUUCGGUGAUUCAUAAUAACUGUUCGAAUCGCACGGCCCUCGCGCCGGCGAUGUUUCAUUCGAGUUUCUGCCCUAUCAACUUUCGAUGGUAAGGUAUUGGCUUACCAUGGUUACAACGGGUAACGGAGAAUUAGGGUUCGAUUCCGGAGAGGGAGCCCGAGAAACGGCUACCACAUCCAAGGAAGGCAGCAGGCGCGCAAAUUACCCAAUCCCGAUUCGGGGAGGUAGUGACAAUAAAUAACGUUGCAGGCGCCAACGGCUUCUGCAGUCGGAAUGAGUACAAUAUAACACCCUUAACGAGGAACAAUUGGAGGGCAAGUCUGGUGCCAGCAGCCGCGGUAAUUCCAGCUCCAAUAGCGUAUAUUAAAGUUGUUGCAGUUAAAAAGCUCGUAGUUGGAUUUCGGAACCGGCCGAUUGGUCCGUCCUCUGGAUCGUGUACUGAUCGGUCUGUUCUUCUUCGCGAAGACCGCGUGUGCCCUUAACUGGGUGGGCGCGGGAUUCGCGACGUUUACUUUGAAAAAAUUAGAGUGUUCAAAGCAGGCAUUCGCUUGAAUAUCUCAGCAUGGAAUAAUAGAAUAGGACUUUGGUCUUAUUUUGUUGGUUUCCGAGACCGAAGUAAUGAUUAAUAGGGACAGUUGGGGGCAUUCGUAUUUCAUUGUCAGAGGUGAAAUUCUUGGAUUUAUGAAAGACGAACUUCUGCGAAAGCAUUUGCCAAGGAUGUUUUCAUUAAUCAAGAACGAAAGUUGGAGGCUCGAAGACGAUCAGAUACCGUCCUAGUUCCAACCAUAAACGAUGCCGUCUGCGGAUCGGAGGUCGCUCACGUAAGGCUCCUUCGGCACGCUAUGAGAAAUCAAAGACUUCGGGUUCCGGGGGGAGUAUGUUCGCAAGAAUGAAACUUAAAGGAAUUGACGGAAGGGCACCACCAGGAGUGGAACCUGCGGUUUAAUUUGACUCAACACGGGAAAACUCACCAGGUCCAGACAUAGG
This 1227-nucleotide ribosomal RNA is filed under the name Beroe abyssicola. Its description in RNAcentral is "SSU rRNA". It matches the Rfam family "Eukaryotic small subunit ribosomal RNA", at positions 1 to 1234 of the family's 1831-position model. The record is from RNAcentral. Lineage: Eukaryota; Metazoa; Ctenophora; Nuda; Beroida; Beroidae.